AUCGGUCUGCAGAGGUCAAAAUAAAAUUAUGAAAAACAGAAGGACUUGCCUAGAUUUACAAGUAUAAGUUCAGAAAUGUUUGAAUGAUAUAAAGGGAACAGUAACAAUGUUUAUCAGCAUCAAGCAAACUAUGCAGGUCUUGCUGUCUAGGUCGUCAAACUGGUUGUGCAUUGACAACUCAAACCCUCACAUGCGAGUACCAGUUUUGGGG
This is a long non-coding RNA of Dreissena polymorpha, 211 nucleotides long. RefSeq lists it as uncharacterized. The record is from RefSeq and is a predicted model, not a curated record. Lineage: Eukaryota; Metazoa; Mollusca; Bivalvia; Myida; Dreissenidae. The transcript has 3 exons.